This 492-nucleotide ribosomal RNA is filed under the name uncultured bacterium. Its description in RNAcentral is "partial 16S ribosomal RNA". It matches the Rfam family "Bacterial small subunit ribosomal RNA", at positions 28 to 507 of the family's 1533-position model. The record is from RNAcentral.
GAUGAACGCUAGCUACAGGCUUAACACAUGCAAGUCGAGGGGAAACGACAUCGAAAGCUUGCUUUUGAUGGGCGUCGACCGGCGCACGGGUGAGUAACGCGUAUCCAACCUGCCCAUCACUUGGGAAUAACCUUGCGAAAGUAAGACUAAUACCCAAUGAUAUCCCACGAAGGCAUCGGAAUGGGAUUAAAGAUUUAUCGGUGAUGGAUGGGGAUGCGUCUGAUUAGCUUGUUGGCGGGGUAACGGCCCACCAAGGCAACGAUCAGUAGGGGUUCUGAGAGGAAGGUCCCCCACAUUGGAACUGAGACACGGUCCAAACUCCUACGGGAGGCAGCAGUGAGGAAUAUUGGCCAAUGGGCGAGAGCCUGAACCAGCCAAGUAGCGUGCAGGAAGACGGCCCUAUGGGUUGUAAACUGCUUUUAGAAGGGAAUAAAGUGGGUCACGUGUGACUUUUUGCAUGUACCUUAUGAAUAAGGACCGGCUAAUUCCGUG